CCCCUUGCCCAGAUGGGCAGGAAGAAAGCAGCCCUGCAGUGGCUGAGGCAUAAAGCCUGCAGAGGCUCUGAGUGGUCAUCAUGUGGCCUCCGCCUCUCUGUCCUAACCUUGCAGGAGUGCUGCUGGCUGUUGGCUUGGCAACUGUGCUGCUGACAGGCCUUGGCCUUGUGUUGAGGCCCUCCCUGGCUCAGGCCUGCCCUGUAAGGGCUUGGAGGCCCCAGUGGAGGGGCCUUGGGGAGUCUCAUGUGCCUGCUGAGUAUGUGCCCCUCAGGGACAGGUGAGUCCCCUUCCACCCUUCACUCCUUUCCCAGCCUAGGGGCCACAGCAUGUGUGGCCACUCCCCACCCUGGCCCUGCCCACAUUCACGAUCCCGGUGCUGGCUCUGGAGACUCAGGAAAGAACGCCCUCUUUUUUUUUUAAUGUUUAUUUAUUUUUGAGAGUGAGACAGAGACAGAGCAUGAGCAGGGGAGGAGCAGAGAGAAAGGGAAACACAGAAUCCGAAGCAGGUUCCAGGCUCUGAGUUGUCAGCACAGAGCCCAAGGCAGGGCUCGAAAGCACAAGCCAUGAGAUCAUAACCUGAGCCAAAGUUGGAUGCUUAACCAACUAAACCACACAGGUUCCCCAAGAACACGUUCUUAAGCUGACCUGUGAUAUUCAUCACUGGCACUCCUGGUCCAUGUGAGCCCUGUGCCACCUGAGUAUGGGUUCUUCUUUCCAGCCUUCUGUCCUAUGAAGAACUCAGUCCGUGGGGCUCUAGGGAAGGAGCUGAUUCCAAGGAGAAAGUCAUUACCUGGAGCACAGGAGAACCACUCCCCCUGAAGACCCUGGAGGACUUCAGUGUCCGCACUCUCUAUGACAAGCUCGAGGACCAGAGCCUACACGUGGCAGCCCAGCUGAGCAAGCACAGGAGCGAGGCACUGGCCUUCUAUAGGGGUGCCAGCCAGCAGCUCCAGGGGCUCAAGGACUUUCUCCAACACCUCAGCACAACUGAGUGGCAAGCUCUGGACAAGGGUGGAGACCCAGAGAUGGAGGCCACAGCUGCCACCAGGACAGACACUGAGCAGAGUGUGGAAUCAUGGGGCCACCACACUGCAAGUCUACCUAGGGAGCCCUGGCAGCAUCCUCUAGGUGAGAGGCAGGUGCCCAGGGAUGGGACAAUGAUGGCAGAUGGAAAGUCAUAAUAUUAACUCUGACUUUGUAUAGCACCUAAGUGUGCAUUUCACAUUUGUCAUCUCACUUGACGUUCAGCACCCCUGUGCCAUAACUGGACA
Molecule: long non-coding RNA, 1271 nt
Organism: Panthera uncia (snow leopard)
Lineage: Eukaryota; Metazoa; Chordata; Mammalia; Carnivora; Felidae
Exons: 3
Source: RefSeq, a predicted model, not a curated record